RNAcentral lists this ribosomal RNA (254 nucleotides) under uncultured bacterium. Its description in RNAcentral is "partial 16S ribosomal RNA". It matches the Rfam family "Bacterial small subunit ribosomal RNA", at positions 524 to 777 of the family's 1533-position model. The record is from RNAcentral.
UACGGGGGGAGCAAGCGUUGUUCGGAUUUACUGGGCGUAAAGGGCGCGUAGGCGGGCCACCAAGUCAGGGGUGAAAUCCCACGGCUCAACCGUGGAAGUGCCCUUGAUACUGGUGGCCUCGAGGGAGGCAGGGGCGUGCGGAACUUUGGGUGGAGCGGUGAAAUGCGUAGAUAUCCAAAGGAACACCGGUGGCGAAAGCGGCGCGCUGGACCUCUUCUGACGCUGAGGCGCAAAAGCCAGGGGAGCAAACGGGG